AUUGAACGCUGGCGGCAGGCCUAACACAUGCAAGUCGAGCGGAUGAAGGGAGCUUGCUCCUGGAUUCAGCGGCGGACGGGUGAGUAAUGCCUAGGAAUCUGCCUGGUAGUGGGGGAUAACGUCCGGAAACGGGCGCUAAUACCGCAUACGUCCUGAGGGAGAAAGUGGGGGAUCUUCGGACCUCACGCUAUCGGAUGAGCCUAGGUCGGAUUAGCUAGUUGGUGGGGUAAAGGCCUACCAAGGCGACGAUCCGUAACUGGUCUGAGAGGAUGAUCAGUCACACUGGAACUGAGACACGGUCCAGUCUCCUACGGGAGGCAGCAGUGGGGAAUAUUGGACAAUGGGCGAAAGCCUGAUCCAGCCAUGCCGCGUGUGUGAAGAAGGUCUUCGGAUUGUAAAGCACUUUAAGUUGGGAGGAAGGGCAGUAAGUUAAUACCUUGCUGUUUUGACGUUACCAACAGAAUAAGCACCGGCUAACUUCGUG
RNAcentral lists this ribosomal RNA (484 nucleotides) under uncultured bacterium. Its description in RNAcentral is "partial 16S ribosomal RNA". It matches the Rfam family "Bacterial small subunit ribosomal RNA", at positions 30 to 507 of the family's 1533-position model. The record is from RNAcentral.